GACGAACGCUGGCGGCGUGCUUAACACAUGCAAGUCGAGCGGAAAGGCCCUUUCGGGGGUACUCGAGCGGCGAACGGGUGAGUAACACGUGAGUAAUCUGCCCCUGGCUUUGGGAUAGCCACCGGAAACGGUGAUUAAUACCGGAUACGACCACUUCUCGCAUGGGAUGGUGGUGGAAAGUUUUUCGGCCAGGGAUGUGCUCGCGGCCUAUCAGCUUGAUGGUGAGGUAAUGGCUCACCAUGGCUUCGACGGGUAGCCGGCCUGAGAGGGUGGCCGGGCACACUGGGACUGGGACACGGCCCAGACUCCUACGGGAGGCAGCAGUGGGGAAUAUUGGACAAUGGGCGGAAGCCUGAUCCAGCAACGCCGCGUGAGGGAUGACGGCCUUCGGGUUGUAAACCUCUUUCAGCAGGGACGAAGCGCAAGUGACGGUACCUGCAGAAGAAGCACCGGCCAACUACGUGCCAGCCGCCGCAGUAA
Molecule: ribosomal RNA, 480 nt
Filed under: uncultured bacterium
Lineage: Bacteria
Description: partial 16S ribosomal RNA
Rfam family: Bacterial small subunit ribosomal RNA
Source: RNAcentral